GAUGAACGCUGGCGGCGUGCUUAACACAUGCAAGUCGAACGGUGAAGCAGGAGCUUGCUCUUGUGGAUCAGUGGCGAACGGGUGAGUAACACGUGAGCAACCUGCCCCUGACUCUGGGAUAAGCGCUGGAAACGGCGUCUAAUACUGGAUAUGUGAUGUGACCGCAUGGUCUGCAGCUGGCAAGAAUUUCGGUUGGGGAUGGGCUCGGGGCCUAUCAGCUUGUUGGUGAGGUAAUGGCUCACCAAGGCGUCGACGGGUAGCCGGCCUGAGAGGGUGACCGGCCACACUGGGACUGAGACACGGCCCAGACUCCUACGGGAGGCAGCAGUGGGGAAUAUUGCACAAUGGGCGGAAGCCUGAUGCAGCAACGCCGCGUGAGGGAUGACGGCCUUCGGGUUGUAAACCUCUUUUAGCAGGGAAGAAGCGAAAGUGACGGUACCUGCAGAAAAAGCACCGGCUAACUACGUGCCAGCCGCCGCAGUAA
RNAcentral lists this ribosomal RNA (484 nucleotides) under uncultured bacterium. RNAcentral's name for it is "partial 16S ribosomal RNA". It matches the Rfam family "Bacterial small subunit ribosomal RNA", at positions 28 to 523 of the family's 1533-position model. The record is from RNAcentral.